UGGGCCUCUCAUGGGGGUGCUCAUUGUGGUUUAAGUCAGCUUUGAUUCUUGACCUCCAAGGCUGCCUCUGAGUAGCUAACCGGAGAAUCGGGUGGGGAGGUGAAAAACACCGCAGUCAAAUGACUCAAUCUUUAAUCCUGUGCUUAAGACACCACUGUUGCUGUUUUUUAUAUUUGAAGCACCCAAAGACUGGGCGUCCGCUCAGCCUUGAUGAGCGAGCAGCUAUUUUGUCAGGCCAUCUAUGAUGUUGGGAUAAUGGACAAAGGCCUGAUUGGGCCAUAUAUGGCCUUCUUUAGGGCCUCCUGGAGGUGGAGGAAGUUGUGGGUAAUUUCUAAUAAAGACGGGAAAUGACAAGCCGUGUGUGUAGGUAAAGUCCUAACUUAAAAGGAAGGACAGGCCUAGGGAAGGGUGGACCCUAAAGGGCCCAUGUGCCAGGGGAACAGUGGACAUGUGUGUCCAGCCCAACCUCCAUGUCUGGUGCUGGGAUUCUGAAGGUGGCCCCCAGCUCCCAAAAUAAAGCUUUCCUUUUCAGUAGCGUCCGACACUUGGGUAGCUUCUUUCUAUAAGCAAUGCUUGAAGAUGGACGUCUGGGUCCUCAUUUCCUCCAAACUGGCUGCUACCUGAAGGCAGUCACACAUUUCUUUUCUGUUGGGCUGAGCUGGGCAGAAGCCUCGGACUAUAGGCCUUUCCAGGGCAGAGGCAAUGCGGGCCACGAGUAGAUACCUCCAUCCAGCCUCCACCCUGGCACACCCAGAACGGCGUGGACUCAGGCGGGUUGCUGGAUUUCUCUGAGCCUUGGCGUGCUCUACACUGCAGGGCUAUACAUGUUCCCAGCUUGAGGGCGUGCUGGGGAUUGACAAAUAUAUGAAACAUAUAAGCGCAAUGAUUUUCUAAAAUUGUGCAUUCCCAGCGUGCCCAUUGGUUCUCUCUCGCUGGCCCAACUUUGUGUGCUGUCCAUAAAUCCCUUUCUGUGGACGGUGACAGUAGGAUUGGGAGUGAGUGGGAAGAUUGUGGAAAGAUUGCAAAGAGGUCAUUGCAGGACUCAGACAGACCUUGCAGUGGGUUUCAGAGUAAUACUCAGGUUCUCCCAUGGAACUUUCAAAGCUGGCUCUAAGAAAGAUGAAGAGGACAAACCCACUCCUGGACAUAGUGCCAACCUAGAACUGUCAGCUCCACACAGGAUCACAGGGAAGGGAGCUUGGUAAGACAGCCCAGUAGGGGGCCCUGCUUUUCAGAAGAGGAAACUGGAGCCAUGCAAGGGCCUGGGGAUCAACUUAGAAAAGAGCACAGGACUCACAGUCCUGGGCCUGCACGUAAAGCUAGCCCCCUGCCCCACGGAAAUGGCAAGCAGUGCUUCCCUCCAGGGGUUCUACAUCUGUGCUCCAUCUCAAAAUGCAUAAAAGCCUGAGUCAUUCAGAUGGGAGAGACAGUGUUUCUACUUCCUCUUAGUUGGGGUUCCUCCAGAAGGAGACCCUGAGAGAGGACUUGAGGUUAUGUAGUUUAUUUGAGUGAAGAUCCCGGAAGUAGGGAGAGAAGGAAGCUGACGGGGAAGGCGUGCAUUAUCAAGUAAGUUACCGUCAUGUGCACAACUGGAGCUGAAUCCCACCGGGGAACCCCGAGAGACAGAGCUGACACCCCAGAGUUCACCCAGCAAGGCGGGGAGACAGCUGGGGUAUUUAUUCACCAAGUCUAUCACUUAUGAAAGGCUGUUUCUGGAAACAAUUUCUGACUGGCCCUGCACACACCUGAGCAUACUUCCUAAGCCGGGGAUGUCCCUGAGCUGAGACAGGCGUUCGUGACAAGCAGACUUCGAGUGGAAGGCAGGCAUCAGAACCACCCUGUGAGCUGGUUCAGACAAAGAUUGCAGGCCCUUCCACCCCCCUGGCCCCGCCAAGUUCCUGACUCCCUAGGUCUGGAGUGGGGCCCGGGAAUUUGCAUUUCAAAAAAUCUCGAGGUGAUGCUGGUGCAGCUGCUCUGAAGUCUUGACUUUGAGAACCACUCACUAGUGAGAGUUUCCAGCCCUUACCUGUCUCUUAUUGAUGGCUUUCCCCCCUCUAAUUUAUAAUUAUGCUUUCACACCACUUCAUGUCACAGAUCCCAGGGUCCGUGCUGUGAAUUUAAAAGUGGAGAAUUAAUAAGCAUUUAUAACUCCAUGCAACCAUUGCUGGCAGCUUAAAUGCCAUCUGCCAGCCAUAAUUUAUUUAUAAUGGGGUUUAUACAUAUUUAUAAGUUUGCAAGCAACAAAUGCACAGUUUUAAAACUGGCACAUUUUAUAGCAGCCAGAAAAAUUGCAACUUUAUACCAGGACUUGUGAAUGUGAAUUGCAUAUGUAUAUACAUAUACGCAUAUACUUACAUUGAUUAAAAACGGAUCUGCAUCUCUGUACACACGCAGAUUGGCUCUGUGUUGUGCACCUUGGGACUCCUCCCUGGGCUUUGGUUUUACAGCUAAGUAGGAAGUCAAACAAACGUGAAGAAUUUGGGAAUUGGCAGGCUGUGGCAUCAGCCAUGGAGGAUGGUCCUGGAUGCUGUAGGAUGUGAGAUCCAGCACAAAGAGAACAAGAACAGGACAUGAGGACCACAGGGAUUGGGGGAACCCACUGUGGGAAAUGACAGAGAAGCCAGUGGGGGAAGACAAAGAAAGAAGAAGGUGGAGGCAGAAUAAAGGUGAGAAGAAGGGAAGGGGAGGAUAAAACAAGUCCAGAUUUAGAUCUUCCUUCAUGCAGCCAUGCAUAGCUGUCUGAGGCCAGCAGGGAAGGAGGAGAAAGGGAAGGUGUGGUGGAGGAGGCUGUGCUCGUGAUGUCAUGCUUUCGUGUAUUCCCAGGUGCAGCUGCAUAUACUUGGCACAGUUUCUUGGGAUUUCUAGCCAGUUUCUUGGCCUCAUUUGUGCAUUAGUUAAUAUGUGGCUGGCCCUGUACUGGGAUGGUGGGAUAGAGAAGUGAAUGUAUGAGGCCUCUGCCUGAGUUUAUAACCUAGAAAGAAAUAAAGACACACACACACAAAGGUGUUGGAGUGUGACAAGCCUUAAGGUACCCGUGUGUCCAAGUAAAGUAGAACCAGCAAGGGUGGAGUGCCCAGGUCAGUCUGGGGACUCUGGAGGCUUCGCACUGCAGGCGUCAGAUACUGAGUGUUAGUGGCACGGAGAAGAGUGUGGAAGGCUCAGGAUGGGGGUGGACAGCCUGGAGUUGUCACUCUCAGUAGAGAUGCUAGAAGGGGCGGGAGGUGAUCCCAGCCUCCCUUCUUUCCUCCUCCUGGCUGUCACAGAUGCUCUGAAUUGAUGAAUCCUUCAGGCCAAAAACACACAGGCUCCUUCCCUAGGUCUGGAAAAAUGGUUCUCGCUGAAAAAGCACCAGGAAUAAAAUCUCAUACAAUUUUAGGUGUCUAUUUUGUUGUCUCACCUUGAAAUACUGCAGACAGAAAAACAUGCACAUGGGGAGCUGUGGUCCUGAGCUUUGAGGUAAUGAAUUCCCACUCAUGUGAUCAUUUUUACCAUAACCAAAGUUUCUAACCAUCAAAAUCAAGUGACAAUUAAAACAGGCAUUAAUGGAUAAAUCCGUCUUUAAAUAUUAAUGGGGUUAAUUUUGUUAACAGCUAUGUGUUGGUUGCAAGUGGAAUGUUCUCUGUUCAUUUGACUUUUGAAUAUAACUUGUUCCAGAAUAUUGUAAAAUUAAGUAUGUGAAUGUUUCUUUGUAUUCAGAAUUAAACAUUUGGUGUUAAAAUCCCAGGAUUAGGAGACAACUCCAUGUAAAUUUAAUGUGUAAUAAUAAGAUAAUAACUUUUUAAAAAGCAUUUGGAUGGCAAAUUAUACAUACUGACAAAUGAAUAUUAUCUGAAAGUUGUUUUGUUUCCAUUAACUUUUGUGAAACAAAAAGAAUUACUGUAACAGUCUAUGUCUUGGCGUAUUGCCAAUUCACCACUUUCUACUUUGUGCUGGAACAGAACUGGCUUUUUUGACAUCCCUGAGGAGUGGAAAUGCAAAACGAAUUUCAAGUUCUCUAAUCUUUGUUCUAUGACAAAUGAAAAAACCUAAGUUAUCUGGUGUUUUGGAGAUUUGAGAAUACAGCAGGUGAAGAGAAUUAGCUUAAAUUCCCUCCUCCCUUUUGAUAAAUCCACAGGGAUUCCUUCACUCUGUCAGGAAAUGGUGUGGUUUCCAAGCAUUAGCCCUUCAUGAUCUGUCUGGUGCAUUUCUGUGCUCCUGGGAUCGCCAAGUGCAGGCACGGCAUCGCAUCCCCAGGUGUCAUCCUGUGACCCAGGAGGGGAAGAUGACACACCCAAUUUAGGUAAUGCUGCACUUCUUGUUAUAAUUGGUUAUUGGAAAAUGUGCCUUUAUUAUCAGAACAGUGGUGUGCGCAUUUCUGAUUAUGGAGCUAACUUUUGGAUAUCUGACUUAGAUACUAAAAACAUUUGGGUGUUGCAGUUUUGCACUUGUAGAUACAACUUAAAAGCAUGAAACUGGUGAUUUAAUUAGAUGUUUUCUAUAAAAUGCACCUUGUUACAUUUCUGUGAAAGGGUCUUACCAGCGUGGAAUAACUGGCUCAAGGGUUGAGAGAAACAACCAUUUUCUAAACAGUUAAUUGUUUAAAGGACUAUACAUGUAAGUCUGCAGGCAAUAAAGGCUGUUGUGAAAAGUA
RNAcentral lists this long non-coding RNA (4630 nucleotides) under Homo sapiens (human). RNAcentral's name for it is "non-protein coding lnc-SHC3-1:2". Lineage: Eukaryota; Metazoa; Chordata; Mammalia; Primates; Hominidae. The record is from RNAcentral.